ACCGUUGCAACAGCUGCCCGGGAUGCUUUCUCACUGUGGCACGUACUCAGCACCCGGGUAAAGGUUGGCCACAACUGUGUUACAAGACACAGGUGCUUCUAUGCCCCUUAAUUUGCAACAACGCAAGCAAGAAGCAGCCAUAUAGGUACCACAACUCUCAUGCCACCCAUUAUUCUCUCUCUUUCUCUAUUUACUCUGUUUUCGCUUUUGCUUACGACUAUGUGUGUAUAGUGAGAGAGAGGUUUAUAUGGCUGGAAAGAAGAGACUAGAGAGUGUGGCGGGUGGUUGAGGGAAGAGUGAGAGGGUCAUUGAACGCAACCUUCACCC
This 327-nucleotide long non-coding RNA is filed under the name Eutrema salsugineum. Its description in RNAcentral is "long non-coding RNA (ESAL_LNC001059)". The record is from RNAcentral. Lineage: Eukaryota; Viridiplantae; Streptophyta; Magnoliopsida; Brassicales; Brassicaceae.